ACUUUGACGCUUCAAUAUACUUUUCUGGCCGUCAAACUUUUUCUUCUGUUCAUCUCACCUGCGAUAAUAAUAUCGAGGCGUUACAGAAUCAGUAUGAACCCAAACGAUGUCUCUAACCAACGCAUUAACCAAAGCUUUCCACUUCUACAAGAUUUCUUAUUGAUCUCCCAUUAAUUUCUUGCUUUGGAUCUUCAAUAUAAAAAGGUCGGCCGAUUUACCUUGAUAGAAGAUGAAGAACUCAAUAGGCAACCCCCAGAAAAUUGAGCACGUUUUCCAAAGAGGAGGAGAUCUAAACCUGGCCAGCUCUUAUAUGAAGAGGUUGCAGAUCGCUGCCAAACCCGUGCUAACAACAAUAUUGAUCACGCUGAGGAAACUUAGAAUGAUGGGAACCGCACAAAAGAUGGGAUCCAGAUUGUGCUGAUGAGAACAAUAGUGGGAAGAAUAAGCAGUUGCGAAUGAACUUUCUCAAGAAGAUAUUAGAGCCAGAAAGAGCCGUAAUGCUUAGAAAAGGCGGGUCAUAACAAUUCCUUCGAGCUUUAAGGAGAUUGAAAGGGUACUCAAAUAUUCGCAAGGGGAAUAAGCGGUGCAGGUUUUAGGGUGUCUAGCGAAGAAGAUUACGGGAGAGUAACAUUUUAAAAUAUCAUGGUCUUCAUGUUUUCGGAGUUUGAGAUCUUUCGUAUCAGCUUUGUUUGAUUGCAAACCCAAUGCAGAUUGUUGAUGGUAGCAGGAACAUUAACAAGCUAUGAAUGUAAAAGAAAUUCAGUCCCUGCAAGAUACAGAUACGCUUUCAGAUUCAUAGUGAUACAAAUAACAGCUGUGAAAGUCACCUACCAAAAGCCUUUUUACUUUGCAAGAAAGUUUGAUUGCUUUUCUCCUAUGUUACCAUCCAGUAAACAGCUUAAACUUACAAAGCGGAGAAGGAAGAGAUGGUACAGAUGAAGGGAUUACGGAUUGCUUGACAAAACCGGUGGGAUCGAGUCCUUCAAUAGCCUGUCAAACUCAAAGUGUGAACCAUCAGCACAACCAAUUUCAAAGUUCCACUUUAAUUUUGAGAGAAAGAAGUAACAAAAAAUGAUGUCUGAAUUUCCCAAAAGUGGAAUUGAUAGAUUUAAGAGUCUGAUUGCCAUCUUGAAGAAAAAACAAUAUAAACUAGGAGCAGCAGGAUGUGGAGGAAAUACUGCAGUACACAGACAUCAUGCUUCCUCACCUAGAGAGAGAGAGAGCGAGUUCCUGCCCUGAAUGGUGAUAGUGCAGAAGAAAGCAUUAACAUUAAGCAAAGAACAAGCAAUGGAGAAGGCUAUGGUGCACAUAGCUCUGUGAAUAGCGUGAGCAUGAUCUGUUCUACAUUCAUAUAUUUGUAGCUUACUAACUGUUAUGUAUUCGCUGAUGCGCGGGUAUAGUUAAGUUAAUUAGUAUUUAUAAUUUAUUAUGUAAAAUUAUUAUUUAUUUAUAAAAUAUAUAAAUUUUUUUAUGAAAGUA
Long non-coding RNA from Brassica napus (rape), 1479 nucleotides. RefSeq lists it as uncharacterized. The record is from RefSeq and is a predicted model, not a curated record. The transcript has 9 exons. Lineage: Eukaryota; Viridiplantae; Streptophyta; Magnoliopsida; Brassicales; Brassicaceae.